This is an RNA transcript of Meriones unguiculatus (Mongolian gerbil), 543 nucleotides long. It is a transcript of the gene named stimulator of interferon response cGAMP interactor 1, with no coding region annotated. NCBI's taxonomy places the organism in Eukaryota, Metazoa, Chordata, Mammalia, Rodentia, Muridae. The record is from RefSeq and is a predicted model, not a curated record. The transcript is spliced from 3 exons.
UACAGGAAAGGGUAGGAGGAGAGAGGGAGUGGGGAAAUGAGGAGGCAGAAAAUCUGCCAUACACACUUUGUUAAACAAUGCCAUAAGGAAACCUGUUGUAGGUUACCCGCCAGAGAAGGCCAGUCAGACACUGGCAUAAGCCAAUAGAAAGCCUUUAUUAGCUAGCCAGCAACUAUACCGGGUGUUCCGGAUGGCAAUGUAGCCUUGAGCCCUUCUCAGGGUAAGCUUUCAAGCACAUAAACCACUUCCUGAGUUGACAUUCUUCAGUUAACAGGAACAGUGAGCUAGAAGUGGAACUGCAGAAGCCAAGAAGAAGCAAGUCUACACAUCAAGAGGCUGCUUGCCAGUAGCUGUUGUACGGCUCUUCGUUGUCUCUCCUGUUCCAGGAACACCUCAGUCUAGGAGGCAGAAGAUCUUACUAUAGAUGGUUGUGAGCCACCAUGUGGUUGCUGGGAACUAAACUCAGGACCUUUGGAAGAACAGCAAGUAUUCUUAACCUCUGAGCCAUCACUCCAGCCCAGCUGUGGAUUUCUUGAUGCCCAC